This 875-nucleotide long non-coding RNA is filed under the name Homo sapiens (human). Its description in RNAcentral is "HSALNT0388247". Lineage: Eukaryota; Metazoa; Chordata; Mammalia; Primates; Hominidae. The record is from RNAcentral.
AGCUGGACUACACUCCUCAGCCUCCCUUGAAGUUGCAGUGAACUUAUGAUGGUUUGUUCUAACCACCGUAAUUGCACAGAAUCAUCUGAGCACCUGACUCAGAGGUCAUGAAAUGCUUUCCUUCACCUGGAUGCAUGAAAAGUAGACAGGUACUGCUGACUCUGAACUGAAGAUCAAGCUGAUGGGCUCUGACUAUGGGAGGUUUCUUCAGCAGAAUAAAUUCACUGAUGCAAGUUUCAGGAGUUUGUCUGCAAGGGCAUUGGGCUAUCUGUUGAUGACCUGGGUAUGUCUGUAUGCAUUGGAGUAAGUGUGCAGUGACCAGAAAGAGCGUGCAUGGAAAAGUGAGUGUGUUUAUUCUGCCAAGGGAUGGUGCCAUUAACAAUCACCAAGGCAGCAAAGUAGGUUUGCAGCCAAUGGCUGCUGACGUUAGUCACCUUCUUAGCCUUCACAACCCACUAACUCAGGCAGCUGUCUUUCCAGUCCAUCCUAGCACACUCAGGGGUCACCUGUCUUGACACUACUCCUCACCAUGUUUCCACAUUCCCCACAAGGCAGGGAGCACACCUGCUCCCAUUGGGCACCCACAGGCAAUACCGUGUGCAGCAGCCCAUUAGAGUAUCAGUUUUCUGGCUAUUCUUUGGAGCUGCUGGAUCCAAUAUGUUUCCCCAUAUGCUUGAACCUUUUUGCAAUUCUUCCAUCUGUUUCUGGGAAAUGUGAAGGAAUUUAAUGAUCUUUUCUGGGGUUAUUAAACCGACAGCUGUUGUCAUUAAUAGAGGACAUUCUUUACUGCAGCGAAUAAAUGCUAGUCAUAACUCCAGCCUGUCUUAUGCACUCUCAUUAAUGACUACAGAGUUUGUCUCAAGACUGGGGUGAUG